RNAcentral lists this ribosomal RNA (801 nucleotides) under uncultured bacterium. RNAcentral's name for it is "bacterial SSU rRNA". It matches the Rfam family "Bacterial small subunit ribosomal RNA", at positions 8 to 796 of the family's 1533-position model. The record is from RNAcentral.
AGAGUUUGAUCAUGGCUCAGAACGAACGCUGGCGGCGCGUUUUAAGCAUGCAAGUCGAACGGUAUACAUAGCUUGCUAUGUAGAGAGUGGCGAACGGGUGAGUAACACGUAGGUAAUCUGCCUCUGGAUGGGGGAUAGUCCACGGAAACGUGGCGUAAUACCGCAUGAUCUCUAUACGUAUAAAGCGUGUAGAGGAAAGGUGCAAUUGUACCGUCUAGAGAUGAGCCUGCGGUUCAUUAGCUAGUUGGCAGGGUAAAGGCCUACCAAGGCGACGAUGAAUAGCCGGCCUGAGAGGGUGAACGGCCACACUGGGACUGAGACACGGCCCAGACUCCUACGGGAGGCAGCAGCUAAGAAUCUUCCGCAAUGGGCGAAAGCCUGACGGAGCGACGCCGCGUGGACGAGGAAGGCCGAAAGGUUGUAAAGUCCUUUUCUUAGGGAAGAAUAAAGCGAAGAGUGGAAUGCUUCGCAGAUGACAUUAACUGAGGAAUAAGCCCCGGCCAAUUACGUGCCAGCAGCCGCGGUAAUACGUAUGGGGCGAGCGUUGUUCGGAAUUAUUGGGCGUAAAGGGCGUGUAGGCGGUUUUAUAAGCCUGGUGUGAAAUCCCACAGCUCAACUGUGGAUCCGCGCUGGGAACUGUAAGACUAGAGUUUAGGAGGGGAAGCUGGGAAUUCCUGGUGUAGGGGUGAAAUCUGUAGAUAUCAGGAAGAACACCGAUGGCGAAGGCAAGCUUCUAGCCAUAGACUGACGCUGAGGCGCGAAAGCGUGGGGAGCGAACAGGAUUAGAUACCCUAGUAGUCC